This 274-nucleotide ribosomal RNA is filed under the name uncultured bacterium. Its description in RNAcentral is "partial 16S ribosomal RNA". It matches the Rfam family "Bacterial small subunit ribosomal RNA", at positions 523 to 796 of the family's 1533-position model. The record is from RNAcentral.
AUACAGAGGGUGCGCGCGUUAAUCGGAAUUACUGGGCGUAAAGCGCGCGUAGGCGGCUUAUUAAGUCAGAUGUGAAAUCCCCGGGCUCAACCUGGGAACUGCAUCUGAUACUGGUAAGCUAGAGUUUUGGAGAGGGAAGUAGAAUUUCAGGUGUAGCGGUGAAAUGCAUAGAGAGCUGAAGGAAUACCAGUGGCGAAGGCGACUUCCUGGCCAAAAACUGACGCUGAGGUGCGAAAGCGUGGGUAGCAAACGGGAUUAGAAACCCUAGUAGUCC